RNAcentral lists this ribosomal RNA (548 nucleotides) under uncultured bacterium. RNAcentral describes it as "partial 16S ribosomal RNA". It matches the Rfam family "Bacterial small subunit ribosomal RNA", at positions 355 to 895 of the family's 1533-position model. The record is from RNAcentral.
UGGGGAAUUUUGGACAAUGGGCGAAAGCCUGAUCCAGCAAUGCCGCGUGUGUGAAGAAGGCCUUCGGGUUGUAAAGCACUUUUGUCCGGAAAGAAAUCCUUGGCUCUAAUACAGUCGGGGGAUGACGGUACCGGAAGAAUAAGCACCGGCUAACUACGUGCCAGCAGCCGCGGUAAUACGUAGGGUGCAAGCGUUAAUCGGAAUUACUGGGCGUAAAGCGUGCGCAGGCGGUUUGCUAAGACCGAUGUGAAAUCCCCGGGCUCAACCUGGGAACUGCAUUGGUGACUGGCAGGCUAGAGUAUGGCAGAGGGGGGUAGAAUUCCACGUGUAGCAGUGAAAUGCGUAGAGAUGUGGAGGAAUACCGAUGGCGAAGGCAGCCCCCUGGGCCAAAUACUGACGCUCAUGCACGAAAGCGUGGGGAGCAAACAGGAUUAGAUACCCUGGUAGUCCACGCCCUAAACGAUGUCAACUAGUUGUUGGGGAUUCACUUCCUUAGUAACGUAGCUAACGCGUGAAGUUGACCGCCUGGGGAGUACGGUCGCAAGAUU